GGAGAUUCUCACAAACACGAUGGUAUUUCUAUGGCCCCCACAAGGGCCACGGUACUCAUCUGAAGUAACUGAUACCAUUUUUAAAAAUGUAAGGGAGUAUGGAGGUAGUUUUGUGGUUAAAUAUGUUUCCAUAUCUCCUAGAUACAGGAAAGACACUUCAAAACCUUAUUUCUUAUGAUACAUUUUUGACUGUCUGCUUUGCCAUAGAUGGAUGUGUUUCUAUGGUCUAUAGUAGUAAAGCCCCCUCUACAUGUUUUCCUCAUUUACAAAGCAGUACUGGGGACAUUAACGUGCUUUCCUACACAUUGUUCAGGUAUCCUUGAUUCAAAUUGCUUUUCCAUAAAACUAAACCACCUACCGGUUACUUUGUCCUGUCUGCCUUUAGUUCCUCAGUUGAUGUUGUAGUUGAUAUUGUGAUGUUGAUAUUGUGGUGGUGAUUUGAAACCAAGAUGAGAGGCACCACCCCCAUUCAUAGUUCACUACUGCUUAGUGACAGAUACAAACCAUUACUAACACAGGAUAAUAACACAAACAGUACAGCUAUGACUACACCCUCAACAAUCUGCCGUUCAGACAAGGUGCCUAUUCAUGAAGGGACGAGAAAUACAACAUUAUAUCCUGUUAGACUAGUUUAUUGCUUUUCUUAUACUCGCUAUAUCGUCUUGUGUUUAUUUGAGAGCUCUGAGCUCUGAGCUCCGACAACUGGCACAAGGUAAUUUGAGAUAAUACAACGUUUCGAUUCUUUGAGGUAAGAGACCCAGAAGGGAGGGAGGGUGACCUCACUACGGCACCAGUCUAGAGUGUGUGUAGACUACAUGUGUUGGUUCACCUGAUCUAGAAAAGGACUGGAGCACACAGCAAUACGAAUAUUAGUGUGGAGUGAUAACAUUACUUGUUGUGAGAGUCUCCUUUACUUGUUGUGAGAGUCUCCUUUUCCCCGGCUGAGCUGAGAUGGACGUGUUGUGAGAGU
This is a long non-coding RNA of Oncorhynchus tshawytscha (Chinook salmon), 970 nucleotides long. NCBI's taxonomy places the organism in Eukaryota, Metazoa, Chordata, Actinopteri, Salmoniformes, Salmonidae. The record is from Ensembl.